CCUACGUGAGGCAGCAGUGAGGAAUAUUGGUCAAUGGCCGGAAGGCUGAACCAGCCAUGCCGCGUGAAGGUCAGUGCCCUAUGGGCGUUAAACUUCUUUUGUGCGGGAGAAAUAAUGGUCACGUGUGGCCAGACGAGAGUACCGUACGAAUAAGCAUCGGCUAACUCCGUGCCAGCAGCCGCGGUAAUACUGGGGAUGCAAGCGUUAUCCGGAUUUAUUGGGUUUUAAGGGUGCGUAGGCUGUGAGGUAAGUCAGCGGUGAAAUGCCCCCGCUCAACGGGGUGAAGGGCCAUUGAUACUGCCUGGCUGGAGUGCGGAUGACGUAGGAGGAAUGUGGGGUGUAGCGGUGAAAUGCAUAGAUAUCACACAGAACACCGAUUGCGAAGGCAUCUCACGAAUCCGCGAUUGACGCUGAUGCACGAAAGCGUGGGUAUCAAACAGGAUUAGAUACCCUUGUAGUC
Molecule: ribosomal RNA, 460 nt
Filed under: uncultured bacterium
Lineage: Bacteria
Description: partial 16S ribosomal RNA
Rfam family: Bacterial small subunit ribosomal RNA
Source: RNAcentral